This 301-nucleotide ribosomal RNA is filed under the name uncultured bacterium. RNAcentral's name for it is "partial 16S ribosomal RNA". It matches the Rfam family "Bacterial small subunit ribosomal RNA", at positions 509 to 807 of the family's 1533-position model. The record is from RNAcentral.
CAGCCGCCGCGGGAAUACGUAGGGUGCGAGCGUUAAUCGGAAUUACUGGGCGUAAAGCGUGCGUAGGUGGUGGUUUAAGUCCGUUGUGAAAGCCCUGAGCUCAACCUGGGAAUUGCAGUGGAUACUGGGUCACUAGAGUGUGGUAGAGGAUAGUGGAAUUUCCGGUGUAGCAGUGAAAUGCGUAGAGAUCGGAAGGAACAUCUGUGGCGAAGGCGACUAUCUGGGCCAACACUGACACUGAGGCACGAAAGCGUGGGGAGCAAACAGGAUUAGAUACCCCUGUAGUCCCUGUCUCUUAUAC